RNAcentral lists this ribosomal RNA (468 nucleotides) under uncultured bacterium. RNAcentral's name for it is "partial 16S ribosomal RNA". It matches the Rfam family "Bacterial small subunit ribosomal RNA", at positions 28 to 507 of the family's 1533-position model. The record is from RNAcentral.
GACGAACGCUGGCGGCGUGCUUAACACAUGCAAGUCGAACGGAAAGGCCCUGCUUUUGUGGGGUGCUCGAGUGGCGAACGGGUGAGUAACACGUGAGUAACCUGCCCUUGACUUUGGGAUAACUUCAGGAAACUGGGGCUAAUACCGGAUAGGUGCUCCUGCUGCAUGGUGGGGGUUGGAAAGUUUAGGCGGUUGUGGAUGGAUGCGCGGCUUAUCAGCUUGUUGGUGGGGUAGUGGCUUACCGAGGCUUUGACUGGUAGCCGGCAUGGGAGGGUGGCUGGCGACAUUGGUACUAAGAGACGGACCAGACUGCAACAGGAGGCAGCAGUGGGGAGUAUUGCACAAUCAGGGGGAGCGUGAUACGGCGAUGCCGCGUGCGUGAUGAAGGCUUACGGGUGGGAAACCGCAGUCGCCUAUGACGAAGCGGGAGUGACGGUAACGGCUAAAGAAGCACCGGCUAACUACGUG